Molecule: ribosomal RNA, 76 nt
Filed under: Rhodospirillaceae bacterium
Lineage: Bacteria; Pseudomonadati; Pseudomonadota; Alphaproteobacteria; Rhodospirillales; Rhodospirillaceae
Description: partial 16S ribosomal RNA
Rfam family: Bacterial small subunit ribosomal RNA
Source: RNAcentral
UCUAACCUAAGAGUUUGAUCCUGGCUCAGAACGAACGCUGGCGGCAUGCCUAACACAUGCAAGUCGAACGCUAUCU